Molecule: ribosomal RNA, 2921 nt
Filed under: Staphylococcus aureus M0452
Lineage: Bacteria; Bacillati; Bacillota; Bacilli; Caryophanales; Staphylococcaceae
Also listed under: 4 other names
Description: bacterial LSU rRNA
Rfam family: Bacterial large subunit ribosomal RNA
Source: RNAcentral
UUAAGUUAUUAAGGGCGCACGGUGGAUGCCUUGGCACUAGAAGCCGAUGAAGGACGUUACUAACGACGAUAUGCUUUGGGGAGCUGUAAGUAAGCUUUGAUCCAGAGAUUUCCGAAUGGGGAAACCCAGCAUGAGUUAUGUCAUGUUAUCGAUAUGUGAAUACAUAGCAUAUCAGAAGGCACACCCGGAGAACUGAAACAUCUUAGUACCCGGAGGAAGAGAAAGAAAAUUCGAUUCCCUUAGUAGCGGCGAGCGAAACGGGAAGAGCCCAAACCAAAAAGCUUGCUUGUUGGGGUUGUAGGACACUCUAUACGGAGUUACAAAGGACGACAUUAGACGAAUCAUCUGGAAAGAUGAAUCAAAGAAGGUAAUAAUCCUGUAGUCGAAAAUGUUGUCUCUCUUGAGUGGAUCCUGAGUAAGACGGAGCACGUGAAAUUCCGUCGGAAUCUGGGAGGACCAUCUCCUAAGGCUAAAUACUCUCUAGUGACCGAUAGUGAACCAGUACCGUGAGGGAAAGGUGAAAAGCACCCCGGAAGGGGAGUGAAAUAGAACCUGAAACCGUGUGCUUACAAGUAGUCAGAGCCCGUUAAUGGGUGAUGGCGUGCCUUUUGUAGAAUGAACCGGCGAGUUACGAUUUGAUGCAAGGUUAAGCAGUAAAUGUGGAGCCGUAGCGAAAGCGAGUCUGAAUAGGGCGUUUAGUAUUUGGUCGUAGACCCGAAACCAGGUGAUCUACCCUUGGUCAGGUUGAAGUUCAGGUAACACUGAAUGGAGGACCGAACCGACUUACGUUGAAAAGUGAGCGGAUGAACUGAGGGUAGCGGAGAAAUUCCAAUCGAACCUGGAGAUAGCUGGUUCUCUCCGAAAUAGCUUUAGGGCUAGCCUCAAGUGAUGAUUAUUGGAGGUAGAGCACUGUUUGGACGAGGGGCCCCUCUCGGGUUACCGAAUUCAGACAAACUCCGAAUGCCAAUUAAUUUAACUUGGGAGUCAGAACAUGGGUGAUAAGGUCCGUGUUCGAAAGGGAAACAGCCCAGACCACCAGCUAAGGUCCCAAAAUAUAUGUUAAGUGGAAAAGGAUGUGGCGUUGCCCAGACAACUAGGAUGUUGGCUUAGAAGCAGCCAUCAUUUAAAGAGUGCGUAAUAGCUCACUAGUCGAGUGACACUGCGCCGAAAAUGUACCGGGGCUAAACAUAUUACCGAAGCUGUGGAUUGUCCUUUGGACAAUGGUAGGAGAGCGUUCUAAGGGCGUUGAAGCAUGAUCGUAAGGACAUGUGGAGCGCUUAGAAGUGAGAAUGCCGGUGUGAGUAGCGAAAGACGGGUGAGAAUCCCGUCCACCGAUUGACUAAGGUUUCCAGAGGAAGGCUCGUCCGCUCUGGGUUAGUCGGGUCCUAAGCUGAGGCCGACAGGCGUAGGCGAUGGAUAACAGGUUGAUAUUCCUGUACCACCUAUAAUCGUUUUAAUCGAUGGGGGGACGCAGUAGGAUAGGCGAAGCGUGCGAUUGGAUUGCACGUCUAAGCAGUAAGGCUGAGUAUUAGGCAAAUCCGGUACUCGUUAAGGCUGAGCUGUGAUGGGGAGAAGACAUUGAGUCUUCGAGUCGUUGAUUUCACACUGCCGAGAAAAGCCUCUAGAUAGAAAAUAGGUGCCCGUACCGCAAACCGACACAGGUAGUCAAGAUGAGAAUUCUAAGGUGAGCGAGCGAACUCUCGUUAAGGAACUCGGCAAAAUGACCCCGUAACUUCGGGAGAAGGGGUGCUCUUUAGGGUUAACGCCCAGAAGAGCCGCAGUGAAUAGGCCCAAGCGACUGUUUAUCAAAAACACAGGUCUCUGCUAAACCGUAAGGUGAUGUAUAGGGGCUGACGCCUGCCCGGUGCUGGAAGGUUAAGAGGAGUGGUUAGCUUCUGCGAAGCUACGAAUCGAAGCCCCAGUAAACGGCGGCCGUAACUAUAACGGUCCUAAGGUAGCGAAAUUCCUUGUCGGGUAAGUUCCGACCCGCACGAAAGGCGUAACGAUUUGGGCACUGUCUCAACGAGAGACUCGGUGAAAUCAUAGUACCUGUGAAGAUGCAGGUUACCCGCGACAGGACGGAAAGACCCCGUGGAGCUUUACUGUAGCCUGAUAUUGAAAUUCGGCACAGCUUGUACAGGAUAGGUAGGAGCCUUUGAAACGUGAGCGCUAGCUUACGUGGAGGCGCUGGUGGGAUACUACCCUAGCUGUGUUGGCUUUCUAACCCGCACCACUUAUCGUGGUGGGAGACAGUGUCAAGCGGGCAGUUUGACUGGGGCGGUCGCCUCCUAAAAGGUAACGGAGGCGCUCAAAGGUUCCCUCAGAAUGGUUGGAAAUCAUUCAUAGAGUGUAAAGGCAUAAGGGAGCUUGACUGCGAGACCUACAAGUCGAGCAGGGUCGAAAGACGGACUUAGUGAUCCGGUGGUUCCGCAUGGAAGGGCCAUCGCUCAACGGAUAAAAGCUACCCCGGGGAUAACAGGCUUAUCUCCCCCAAGAGUUCACAUCGACGGGGAGGUUUGGCACCUCGAUGUCGGCUCAUCGCAUCCUGGGGCUGUAGUCGGUCCCAAGGGUUGGGCUGUUCGCCCAUUAAAGCGGUACGCGAGCUGGGUUCAGAACGUCGUGAGACAGUUCGGUCCCUAUCCGUCGUGGGCGUAGGAAAUUUGAGAGGAGCUGUCCUUAGUACGAGAGGACCGGGAUGGACAUACCUCUGGUGUACCAGUUGUCGUGCCAACGGCAUAGCUGGGUAGCUAUGUGUGGACGGGAUAAGUGCUGAAAGCAUCUAAGCAUGAAGCCCCCCUCAAGAUGAGAUUUCCCAACUUCGGUUAUAAGAUCCCUCAAAGAUGAUGAGGUUAAUAGGUUCGAGGUGGAAGCAUGGUGACAUGUGGAGCUGACGAAUACUAAUCGAUCGAAGACUUAAUCAA